GUUACAACAUGGCAGACAGCUGGAGCACCGACACGGGAGAAGCUGUCUAUCGUUCCCGGGAUGCUGUCAAAAACCUUACAAUUAAGAUUCGUAUUCAGAGAGUCACUUCCACAGCAGCCCUCUCCCAACACCUUCAGCAGCAGGUUUUGACUCAACAGGAGAGCGGAGACAUUGAGCUGGACACCCUCAACUCCGUCUCAAUCAGGUGUUAACACUGUUUUGAAACAGAAAGAUGUUAGAUGCUUCUUAGUUGAGUAGAUGUUAUUUUCGUGGCGGCUAGAUAUGGACCACAACAUCUUGGUUUUGUUUUCAUCCGGAGAGUUAGUGGUAGGCGGUCAGGAGAAGCUGUUCAGUCAGUGCCCUUAUAACAAAUAAGAAUUUACUGUUUAAGAUAGGUUGUUGCAUAGUAAGGUGUGUGUGUGUGCACAAUAUGAAGUGGUUUUGUUCCAGAGUGAGUCAGUAUGCCAGACUCCGCUGGAGAGACAAUACCACAGAGAUCAUGAUUCAGGAGCGGACCAGGGGCAGAUGGAACUGCAGGAUUUUCACCUACACCGAUUCUGACUGCGACACCAAUUGGGAAGGGGUGGUUUUUCAAAAGAAUCUCCAUUUCUGUAACAGUUCUGUAACCAAAGACUCUGGGAGACAGGAAGCAAGUAUAGGGGGAGGAUUUUAUAGGGGGAGCUGGAGCAAACGUGACAAUUUCAUUAUUCAAAACAAAGCAUUUACCUAUUUUCUGUCCAAAAGAAACGUUAGUGUUUUAAAGCUGUUUUUGAUAUCCUCACUACAGCACUCCCAGAGUAUGGUGACGCAGGUCAAGUCCUAUCCUACCUUACUGGCACAUAGGAAGGCCAAUGUCAGACACAGAUGACAGGACAGACGCCCAGUGUAGGUCCCUGUUACUUACCAAAGUUAAUUAUUAUCAAAGUGAAUGUAAUUGAAGCAGCAGUGAUGCGUCGUGCUGCUUUGAAGACAAACAGUGUACCGGUAUGUUCACAUUACACCAUACCCUUGUAUGCAAAAUGUGUUUGUGGUAUUAUGUUGGUCUGCAGUGGCAGCACCAUCCCCAAGUCCAGGCUGAUUACCUGGGACCCCUUGGAGGACUUUGUGAAGACCAGCCACAUGGUCAACACACCUGUACAGACCAUGCACAUCAUGGGGGACCUGGGACCAGCGGGCAAACCCUGGUUAAAAGGAGAAGGAAUGCUUGUGCAUGGUAAGAGCAGAUGCAAAUGGAGUGGUUACCAUCAAACCAGAGUUCAACAAAGGCAAGGAGCACUACAGGCCAGUGACCCGCACCCGCUGAAGUCAAAAUGUUUUACCCCUAGCUCAAGUUGAGACGGAGGGGGAGAAGAGAGAGGUGGGGCAUCAGACCAGAGGAGACGGAACAGCAACAGUGCAUAUAUAGACCGUUAUGUACGUCAUAAAGACUACCUCAACAGCUUGGUUGGCCAGGACUGAAAUGAAUUUACAAUGUUGAAUGAUGCAUUGCCCAACAAACUGCAUAUAAUGGAUCUAAUUUACUGAAAGAAAGAUGGAUCGUAAUGAUGAGAGAAUCAAAAGAGCUUUAAGACGCCGCCCUUAUGUGUUGAAACCAGUUAGGGUGAACACCCCUGAUUCCGUGUUGUGGCCAACCGGCAAGGUGCACAGAAGGCCAAAGCCUUCUAAUUCAGUGCAGACCCCUCAGAUCCACAAAAGGCCUCCAAUCAUUGUGAGCUAUGGGCAGGACCAGACAUCUGGGGAUGGAUGGAGCAUCAAUCCAGAGCCUCUCAGCCAGGUCAUCUCUGCUGUUCCCAUACAACAGAUAGACCAAUCUGUUGAUUCAUAUGGCCAUUUUGGUUGGCUUGGUUGAAUUGACAAUUAUCCAUUCGAGAUGCUAAAGAAUCCUUUACUAUGGAAGAUAU
Long non-coding RNA from Oncorhynchus masou masou (cherry salmon), 1901 nucleotides. RefSeq lists it as uncharacterized. The record is from RefSeq and is a predicted model, not a curated record. Lineage: Eukaryota; Metazoa; Chordata; Actinopteri; Salmoniformes; Salmonidae. The transcript is spliced from 10 exons.